GGCGCAGCCUGGUAGCGCACUGGUCUGGGGGACCAGGGGUCACCGGUUCAAAUCCGGUCGUCCCGACCA
Molecule: transfer RNA, 69 nt
Filed under: Candidatus Bipolaricaulota bacterium
Lineage: Bacteria; Candidatus Bipolaricaulota
Description: tRNA-Pro
Rfam family: tRNA
About the family: Transfer RNA (tRNA) molecules are approximately 80 nucleotides in length.
Source: RNAcentral